Molecule: ribosomal RNA, 600 nt
Filed under: uncultured bacterium
Lineage: Bacteria
Description: bacterial SSU rRNA
Rfam family: Bacterial small subunit ribosomal RNA
Source: RNAcentral
GCAAGUCGAGCGGUAGAGAGGUGCUUGCACCUCUUGAGAGCGGCGGACGGGUGAGUAAAGCCUAGGAAUCUGCCUGGUAGUGGGGGAUAACGCUCGGAAACGGACGCUAAUACCGCAUACGUCCUACGGGAGAAAGCAGGGGACCUUCGGGCCUUGCGCUAUCAGAUGAGCCUAGGUCGGAUUAGCUAGUUGGUGAGGUAAUGGCUCACCAAGGCGACGAUCCGUAACUGGUCUGAGAGGAUGAUCAGUCACACUGGAACUGAGACACGGUCCAGACUCCUACGGGAGGCAGCAGUGGGGAAUAUUGGACAAUGGGCGAAAGCCUGAUCCAGCCAUGCCGCGUGUGUGAAGAAGGUCUUCGGAUUGUAAAGCACUUUAAGUUGGGAGGAAGGGCAUUAACCUAAUACGUUAGUGUUUUGACGUUACCGACAGAAUAAGCACCGGCUAACUCUGUGCCAGCAGCCGCGGUAAUACAGAGGGUGCAAGCGUUAAUCGGAAUUACUGGGCGUAAAGCGCGCGUAGGUGGUUCGUUAAGUUGGAUGUGAAAUCCCCGGGCUCAACCUGGGAACUGCAUUCAAAACUGUCGAGCUAGAGUAUGGU